AUUGCAUCCAAUAUUAGUUACCCUCAAGCGAUAGGACGAUGAAUAAUCUCAAGUGCCUAAAUUUUUGAGAUCUGCCAUAUUUCAAUCUCAAUUUCUUAGAAUCCCCUCUGAUUUCAAUACCUUGUAAGUUUUUGACCUCAUUUUUCAUUUAGAGAAUUUUAUGCAGUGUACAGUGGAUCCAUAGUGUCCAGAUUAAGGAUUUUCUCCUUUUAGGCUUAGGUCGGGUCGUUGGGACUUGACCCUCGCUAGAUUCAGAAGGAUCGAGGGUCAGGUAGUUUUAAAAUAGGGCACGCGUAUUCACAUGCCCACUUAUCUUUUGGAUGAGAUGUUGGUUCUUGGGUGUCAGGAUAAACACCCAUGAACCUACAAACGUUUCAGAGAUACCUCUGAAAAUCACUUUUCGAUCAGUUCAUUUGUUUAAGUCACCAAUGAAUUAUGUUGAUUGGACGACCUAGUUAUCCUUAUGGCCUUAGUGACCUAUUCGGUGGUAUCUAUUUGUAUCCACCGUAUUCAUUUAGAACUUACCUCCCAUUUUUGUAUCAAAUGUCCGUUGGAGAUGGUGAUUAGUGAGGAGGUUAGCUACCAAUCGUUGACAACCUGCUCCGUCUUUUAAAUGACGAAGAGUCACUACCAAAACCUGCCUUGCCUACUCUGCAAGUGAAGCUAGAGUGCCGUCAGGAGGAGUGGCAUCACCAAUAAUGCGAGUCGACCGAGCAAGCAUUCCAUUAUCAUCUUAUUCACAACCUGGAGGAAAGAAAAAGACAAUUACUGCCAAUGAGUUGGACACGCGAUGUGGAGGUUGAUUAGAUACAGCAAGACAAUGCACCACCUUGGGGUCCAUCUGAGUUGCAAGAACAAGUUCAUUUAGCGAUUCUUUUGCUCCAUACAUCAUUUAUGGUGCAUCAAAAAUGUUGCUAGAGUUGCCGAAAAAAAGCAAAAGAGACCAGUAGCUGAGGCAUCUAGCGUUGUUGAGGCCCAAGAUAACGAAACGUCUUCAGGCUCUCUUGACUUGACCUAGGUAUAGAGACAAAUUGUCGACCUGGUUGUGGCUUCCGAGGUAAAAAUACAUGCCAGCGGAAGGAUGCAGAAGAGACAUGGAUGGUACCACAGGCCGCAUGUGAGGCAGGAAAGCCUAAAGUCCCAAACUUCUAGAGGUUGGGGCCCUCUUGUCGCUGAAUGAUUAUUUCAUUCAGGUCUUGAAUUACUGUAGGAUCUUAGUAUUUCAGGUGGUCCCAAAUAGCUACUGCAUACUCACAGGUAUCCAAGUAUUGUACAAGUCGCUCAACUGGCCUUCACCAACCCUUGAAGAGAUCAACUAUUUUUACGACUUGGAGCCUAACCCUGCAGGUUGUGAUUGAGGUUUCUACCAUCUGUGAACUCAAUGAGGCAUCGAGAACUUGAUGAUUAGUAGGGUGUCCAACUCCAGCAGUUACCUUCGCUAGUAUUUUAUGGUGCAAGGAUUCACAACAAAGAAAAAGGCCUUUAGGCCCUUCAAGUGACCUCAUACUUAACUAGAGUAUGAAGAACACCUAUGGCUUAUCAAGAAGUUUGAUGUACCACUUGGCACGACCCACCUUUUUGCUGACCAACGAGAAUAUGGUGGCUUAUGACAUCUUCAAUAAGGAUCAAUCCUUUAAUUGCAAGUCAGCCCCGCCAUUGACUAGUCAGGUGUAAGUGACAAUCCCCCUUCGCUAGGUUAGGAUUGAGUAUACCAAGGAAGGGGCACCCAUACGCGAGGCUGAAGCAUUUGCUAGCGAGGUCUCCUCGCGUUUUAGAUAAUUGGACUCGUUUGAAGUCAGAGAGGCUGAGGUUGUGGAGAUAUCUCAUUCCUGAGCCUCAAGGGGUUAUUUACGAGGCGAGGUCCAUCUCGAUCCCCAUGUCCGCUCUUUCUUGCAUGAGUCAAGGUCACAUUGCGGAAGAUGCGAGGACGAAACCAAGGUUAAUUCUCAUGAUUUUGGCUUCAUUGGUCAACCAAUUUUUGUGCUUGAGCAUUUACCCUUGCCUGAACCUCCUCAUUUUUCUUCACACCUUUUUUCCUUCAUUUACAUGGAUGAUGUUAUGAAUUCGGGAUCAUUUCAACUAGAAGUGCCUAACGAUCCCAGGGCCCUAAACAUAAUUGACCAAAGAUCAAUGGUUGAAAAAAUUAAUGUGGAUGGCCUUUUCACUCAACCUACCCUCGCCAUCAAGAAGAAGAAGAAGAAGAAGAAGAAGA
Molecule: long non-coding RNA, 2212 nt
Organism: Humulus lupulus (European hop)
Lineage: Eukaryota; Viridiplantae; Streptophyta; Magnoliopsida; Rosales; Cannabaceae
Exons: 4
Source: RefSeq, a predicted model, not a curated record